RNAcentral lists this ribosomal RNA (70 nucleotides) under Bacillus velezensis. RNAcentral describes it as "partial 16S ribosomal RNA". It matches the Rfam family "Bacterial small subunit ribosomal RNA", at positions 1 to 69 of the family's 1533-position model. The record is from RNAcentral. Lineage: Bacteria; Bacillati; Bacillota; Bacilli; Caryophanales; Bacillaceae.
UUUAUCGGAGAGUUUGAUCCUGGCUCAGGACGAACGCUGGCGGCGUGCCUAAUACAUGCAAGUCGAGCGG